RNAcentral lists this transfer RNA (69 nucleotides) under Amblyrhynchus cristatus. RNAcentral describes it as "tRNA-Ser". Lineage: Eukaryota; Metazoa; Chordata; Lepidosauria; Squamata; Iguanidae. The record is from RNAcentral.
GAACUGCUAAUUCUUACCCCUGAAGUUAAAUUCCUCAGACCCCUCACUUUUAAAGGAUAAAAGAAAAUC